ACUUUAGUUCUUGAGGUAAUAUAACUCUUCCUGUUGCCAUAAUGUUUUUAGGUCGAAGACACCACCAUUUGAACUUUGCUUAUGACCACCUACUAGCUUGGCAAAGUGUCAAAGUUAUUAUAAAAAAGGAAAAGUUAAAUGCCUUGAGAUGGCCCAUUGCAUGCUAAGUAUCUGGGAGUCAAAGUUGUUCUGGUUGAGGGGAAAUUCUUUGUAUGAUUGAUGUGAGGUAGAGGGUUGUGAGCCUGGGAAUUUGAGAAUACAGGGUCUGAAAAUUGGAUCCCUAUCUAAAUAGUUGAUGGGGAAUGAGAAAUCAAACAGAAGAAUAUAGAACUACUAUUCUUUCACUAACCGGCUUAAGAAGCACUCUUUUGGAUGGAUAUUAUAGUAAUUUUUAAUUGAUAAAAAGAUACUUCAAAGCUGUGAAGCUGGGAAUUUGAGAAUAAGGGGUCUGAAAAUUGGAUUCCUG
Molecule: unclassified non-coding RNA, 466 nt
Filed under: Hevea brasiliensis (rubber tree)
Lineage: Eukaryota; Viridiplantae; Streptophyta; Magnoliopsida; Malpighiales; Euphorbiaceae
Source: RNAcentral